Homo sapiens (human) is the source of this 244-nucleotide long non-coding RNA. NCBI's taxonomy places the organism in Eukaryota, Metazoa, Chordata, Mammalia, Primates, Hominidae. The record is from Ensembl.
AUUCAAGCCCAAGAGAAGUGAGGCAUGGGAUGCUUUAAUUCAAAGACCUCCUCAGCUGUAAGGUGAACAAAUGAGGGUACAGAAGAGAGAGUUGUUAGAAUCUACAUUGGUACUUUCAAAAAUGUUUCCUUUCUUCCUUCCUAGAUGCUUUCUGCAUUAGCACUGUGCUCCAUUUCUUCAGUCCUAUGCCCUUCCCAAAAUUGGCACUGCAAGACAUGAUACCUUAAAGGCAUCUCCAAAUGAG